Molecule: non-coding RNA, 83 nt
Organism: Podarcis lilfordi (Lilford's wall lizard)
Lineage: Eukaryota; Metazoa; Chordata; Lepidosauria; Squamata; Lacertidae
Source: the annotation of a GenBank genome assembly
GUUCCUAUAGCUCAGUGGUAGAGUGCUUGCUUUCCAUGCAUAAAGUCCCAGGUUCAAUCCUGGGCAUGUUCAGGUAGGGAAUG